GAUGAACGCUGGCGGCGUGCCUAAUACAUGCAAGUCGAGCGAACAGACGAGGAGCUUGCUCCUCUGACGUUAGCGGCGGACGUGUGAGUAACACGUGUAUAACCUACCUAUAAGACUGGGAUAACUUCGGGAAACCGGUUCUAAUACCGGAUAAUAUAUUGAACCGCAUGGUUCAAUAGUUAAUGACGGUUUUUCUGUCUCUUAUAGAUUGAUCCGCGCCUCAUUAGCUAGUUGGUAAGGUAACGGCUUACCAAGGCAACGAUGCGUAGCCGACCUGAGAGGGGGAUCGGCAACACAGGAACUGAGACACGGUACAGACUCCUACGGGAGGCAGCAGUAGGGAAACGUGCGCAAUGGGCGAAAGACUGACGGAGAAACGCCGCGUGAGUGAUGAAGGGCUUCGGAUCGUAAAACUCUGUUAUUAGGGAAGAAAAAAUGUGUAAGUAACUAUGCACGUAUUGACGGUACCUAAGCAGAAAGCCACGGCUAACUACGU
RNAcentral lists this ribosomal RNA (496 nucleotides) under uncultured bacterium. RNAcentral describes it as "partial 16S ribosomal RNA". It matches the Rfam family "Bacterial small subunit ribosomal RNA", at positions 28 to 506 of the family's 1533-position model. The record is from RNAcentral.